AACGAACGCUGGCGGCAUGCCUAACACAUGCAAGUCGAACGAGACCUUCGGGUCUUGUGGCGCACGGGUGCGUAACGCGUGGGAACCUGCCCUUAGGUUCGGAAUAACUCCCCGAAAGGGGUCCUCAUACCGCAUAAUGUCUUCGGACCAAAGAUUUCUCGCCUUUGGAUGGGCCCGCGUUGGAUUAGCUAGUUGGUAGGGUAAAAGCCUACCAAGGCGACGAUCCAUAGCUGGUCUGAGAGGAUGAUCAGCCACACUGGGACUGAGACACGGCCCAGACUCCUACGGGAGGCAGCAGUGGGGAAUAUUGGACAAUGGGCGAAAGCCUGAUCCAGCAAUGCCGCGUGAGUGAUGAAGGCCUUAGGGUUGUAAAGCUCUUUUACCCGGGAUGAUAAUGACAGUACCGGGAGAAUAAGCACCGGCUAACUCCGUG
RNAcentral lists this ribosomal RNA (433 nucleotides) under uncultured bacterium. RNAcentral describes it as "partial 16S ribosomal RNA". It matches the Rfam family "Bacterial small subunit ribosomal RNA", at positions 29 to 507 of the family's 1533-position model. The record is from RNAcentral.